AACGAACGCUGGCGGCAGGCUUAACACAUGCAAGUCGAACGCCCCGCAAGGGGAGGUGGCAGACGGGUGAGUAACACGUGGGAACGUGCCCUAAGGUUUGGAAUAUUCCCGGGAACUGGGAGCAAUACCAAAUGUGUCCGCAAGGAGGAAGAUUUAUCGCCUUAGGAUCGGCCCGCGUUGGAUUAGCUAGUUGGUGGGGUAAAAGCCUACCAAGGCGACGAUCCAUAGCUGGUCUGAGAGGACGACCAGCCACACUGGGACUGAGACACGGCCCAGACUCCUACGGGAGGCAGCAGUGGGGAAUCUUGGACAAUGGGCGCAAGCCUGAUCCAGCCAUGCCGCGUGAGUGAUGAAGGCCUUAGGGUU
This 366-nucleotide ribosomal RNA is filed under the name uncultured bacterium. Its description in RNAcentral is "bacterial SSU rRNA". It matches the Rfam family "Bacterial small subunit ribosomal RNA", at positions 29 to 424 of the family's 1533-position model. The record is from RNAcentral.